ACUUUUGCCUCCGGAAAUGGUUCCAACGUUGGUUUACGCCAACACGGACUAAUAGGGAAUCCGGUGAAAAACCGGAGCUGUACCCGCAGCUGUAAGCCUUAAUACAAACUUUUUGAAACUCCUGCCACUGUCUCGGUUAACCGGGAUGGGAAGGCUUCAAAAAGAAGGUGAGCCAGAAGACCUGCCAAUUCCACGCACGUUAA
This is a non-coding RNA of Bacteroidetes bacterium GWB2_41_8, 203 nucleotides long. NCBI's taxonomy places the organism in Bacteria, Pseudomonadati, Bacteroidota. The record is from Rfam.